CCCUGGUGGUUCAAGUGGUAAAGAAUCUGCCUGCAAUGCAGGAGACCUAGGUUUAAUUCCUGGGUCAGGAA
This 71-nucleotide transfer RNA is filed under the name Bos taurus (domestic cattle). It matches the Rfam family "tRNA". Rfam says of the family: Transfer RNA (tRNA) molecules are approximately 80 nucleotides in length. Their secondary structure includes four short double-helical elements and three loops (D, anti-codon, and T loops). The record is from Rfam by way of RNAcentral. RNAcentral also lists the same sequence under 5 other names. Lineage: Eukaryota; Metazoa; Chordata; Mammalia; Artiodactyla; Bovidae.